UGAGUAACACGUGGGCAACUCUGCCCUUCGUUGGGGGACAACCGGGGGAAACCCCGGCUAAUACCCCGUAAUGCUUGCUGGAUCACCUGACCCGGCAAGGAGAGGUAGCUUCGGCCAUCCGGCGAAGGAGGAGCCCGCGGUACAUUAGCUAGUUGGUGAGGUAACGGCUCACCAAGGCUACGAUGUAUAGCUGGUCUGAGAGGAUGAUCAGCCACACUGGGACUGAGACACGGCCCAGACUCCUACGGGAGGCAGCAGUCGGGAAUCUUGCACAAUGGGCGAAAGCCUGAUGCAGCAACACCGUGUGAGCGAUGAAGGCCCUAGGGUCGUAAAGCUCUGUUGUUAGGGACGAAGGGCGAAGGGUUAAUAGCCCUUAGCCUGACGGUACCUAUCGAGGAAGCCCCGGCUAACUACGUGCCAGCAGCCGCGGUAAUACGUAGGGGGCGAGCGUUGUCCGGAAUUAUUGGGCGUAAAGAGCGUGUAGGCGGCUUGGUAAGCCUGCUGUGAAACCUUGGGGCUCAACCCCAAGCGUGCAGUGGAUACUGUCAAGCUAGAGGAUGGUAGAGGCCAGUGGAAUUCCCAGUGUAGCGGUGAAAUGCGCAGAUAUUGGGAGGAACACCAGUAGCGAAGCGGCUGGCUGGGCCAUUCCUGACGCUGAGACGCGAAAGCUAGGGGAGCGAACAGGAUUUAGAUACCCUGGUAAGU
RNAcentral lists this ribosomal RNA (705 nucleotides) under uncultured Actinomycetes bacterium. RNAcentral's name for it is "bacterial SSU rRNA". It matches the Rfam family "Bacterial small subunit ribosomal RNA", at positions 107 to 794 of the family's 1533-position model. The record is from RNAcentral. Lineage: Bacteria; Bacillati; Actinomycetota; Actinomycetes.